GGAAUAGUAGUCCAUAUAAAGGAUUUUAACCUUGUAAGUUAAAGGAGGUUUCAUUAAAACCCUAUUCCU
This 69-nucleotide transfer RNA is filed under the name Bovicola bovis (cattle chewing louse). RNAcentral's name for it is "tRNA-Thr". The record is from RNAcentral. Lineage: Eukaryota; Metazoa; Arthropoda; Insecta; Psocodea; Bovicoliidae.